UACAGGGGGUGCAAACGUUGCUCGGAAUCACUGGGCGUAAAGCGCACGUAGGCGGAUCUUUAAGUCAGGGGUGAAAUCCCAAGGCUCAACCUUGGAACUGCCUUUGAUACUGGGGAUCUCGAGUCCGGAAGAGGUUGGUGGAACUGCGAGUGUAGAGGUGAAUUCGUAGAUAUUCGCAAGAACACCAGUGGCGAAGGCGGCCAACUGGUCCGGUACUGACGCUGAGGUACGAAAGCGUGGGGAGCAAACAGG
RNAcentral lists this ribosomal RNA (252 nucleotides) under uncultured bacterium. RNAcentral describes it as "partial 16S ribosomal RNA". It matches the Rfam family "Bacterial small subunit ribosomal RNA", at positions 524 to 776 of the family's 1533-position model. The record is from RNAcentral.